Molecule: long non-coding RNA, 197 nt
Organism: Brassica oleracea var. oleracea
Lineage: Eukaryota; Viridiplantae; Streptophyta; Magnoliopsida; Brassicales; Brassicaceae
Exons: 3
Source: RefSeq, a predicted model, not a curated record
UGUGCAGGCAGAAGUGUCGCAAAGAUUGAGUUAUGCCAAGGAAUCUGCUAGCAGAAACGUGAGUGUGCAGAGCCAUGGAGACCUCGCUAGAAAGUUACAGGAGGAAAUGGAGAAGAACCGCAGGUCUUCAUCUGGUUCGAGAGAAGGAUCUGGGAGGCGGAUGAAGGAGGUAGCUUGUCCAACAUGUACAGUGCUAU